CUGGCGGCAUGGCUAAGACUUGCAAGUCGAACGGACCAUAUAAUUGGGUAACCGAAAGUAUGGUUAGUGGCGAAAGGGUGAGGAAUAGAUAGGAACGUACCCUGUGCUCUGGGAUAGCGUCUGAAGCUUCGGCUUCUUCCGAAAGGGGCGGUAAUACCAGAUAAUGUCCUUCGGGACCAAAGAUUUAUCGGCAUUGGAGCGGCCUAUCUCCUAUCAGCUUGUUGGUGAGGUAACGGCUCACCAAGGCAACGACGGGUAGCGGGACUGAGAGGUUGGCCCGCCACAUCGGGACUGAGACACUGCCCGGACCUCCACGGAGGGCUGCAGUAACGGAUAUUGGGCAAUGGGCGAAAGCCUGACCCAGCAAUGCCGCGUGCAGGAUGAAGCCCCUAGGGGUGUAAACUGCUGUCAGGGGUCAGAAAGCUGGUUUCGGCCAGUUGAUCAACCCCAGAGGAAGUCACGGCUAACUUCGUGCCAGCAGCCGCGGUAAUACGAAGGUGGCAAGCGUUAUUCGGAAUCAUUGGGCUUAAAGGGCACGCAGGCGGAACAGUGUGUGUUGUGUGAAAUCCCCCGGCUUAACCGGGGAAUUGCACAGCAAACUGCUGUUCUUGAGGCAGGUAGGGGUGCAUGGAACUCUUGGUGGAGCGGUGGAAUGCGUAGAUAUCAAGAGGAACGCCAGAGGUGAAGACGGUGCACUGGGCCUGUCCUGACGCUGAGGUGCGAAAGCGUGGGGAGCGAACGGGAUUAGAUACCCCGGUAGUCCA
This 764-nucleotide ribosomal RNA is filed under the name uncultured organism. Its description in RNAcentral is "bacterial SSU rRNA". It matches the Rfam family "Bacterial small subunit ribosomal RNA", at positions 36 to 797 of the family's 1533-position model. The record is from RNAcentral.